GACGGACGCUGGCGGCGCGCCUAACACAUGCAAGUCGAACGAGCGAGAGAGAGCUUGCUUUCUCGAGCGAGUGGCGAACGGGUGAGUAACGCGUGAGGAACCUGCCUCAAAGAGGGGGACAACAGUUGGAAACGACUGCUAAUACCGCAUAAGCCCACGACCCGGCAUCGGGUAGAGGGAAAAGGAGCAAUCCGCUUUGAGAUGGCCUCGCGUCCGAUUAGCUAGUUGGUGAGGUAACGGCCCACCAAGGCGACGAUCGGUAGCCGGACUGAGAGGUUGAACGGCCACAUUGGGACUGAGACACGGCCCAGACUCCUACGGGAGGCAGCAGUGGGGAAUAUUGCACAAUGGGGGAAACCCUGAUGCAGCGACGCCGCGUGGAGGAAGAAGGUCUUCGGAUUGUAAACUCCUGUUGUUGAGGAAGAUAAUGACGGUACUCAACAAGGAAGAGACGGCUAACUACGUG
This 466-nucleotide ribosomal RNA is filed under the name uncultured bacterium. RNAcentral's name for it is "partial 16S ribosomal RNA". It matches the Rfam family "Bacterial small subunit ribosomal RNA", at positions 28 to 507 of the family's 1533-position model. The record is from RNAcentral.